This is a long non-coding RNA of Sander lucioperca (pikeperch), 638 nucleotides long. RefSeq lists it as uncharacterized. NCBI's taxonomy places the organism in Eukaryota, Metazoa, Chordata, Actinopteri, Perciformes, Percidae. The transcript is spliced from 3 exons. The record is from RefSeq and is a predicted model, not a curated record.
GACGCAUGGUCUUCUCCAGGAUGUGCUCGAACAGGGCGUAGAGAUCCUUGUAACGGAUACUCUUCCCAUCAUCCAUCUGGUGAGCUGAACAGAGAUCCAGUGGUGCCUCAAGCAGCUGAGGACAAACGAGAAAAGAGAAAAGAGCAGCAAGGACUCACCGCCAGGGCAGUGGAGUAGGAGUUGAAGAUGUUGAUCCUGAACUCCCUCAGCGCUUUCUUGAAGACGACGUCCACCAUGGUGUCCUUCUUACCGUCUUCAGACUCCAGGUUUGUCCUCUGACCUUCUUCAUGAGGAAGUCGUUCAUGCUGCGGUAGUCAUGGGCCGAGCUGAGGAUGUGCAGUGCGUCGUUUUGCCACUGGGCGGGUUCCAGAGCGAUGCUGCUGAUCUUCACACUGCGACGCCUCCUCAUCUUAGGAGACGGCUCCUUGUUCUCCUUACUGUCCCUGACCCCCAGGGAGGGAGCUGCCUCCAAAUCUGGACUGUGAGGAGGAGAAGAAGGGCGUUCUGGGAGGAUGGACACAAACAUGGAGAGAUGGUGGAUUACUAAAAAUGAUUCUUGUUAAUCAAGAAACUUAAAUCUGCAUUAAUUCUUCAUAAAUUGUAUUUUACCUUAUUAAAUAAUAUUCUAUGGUAUACUG